UAUCCCAAUGAAGAUCAUGUUCAAAAAUUAAAGUAGUGGACUGAUUCUAUUGAUGAUUUCUUGAUUCUGAGGGGUA
Papaver somniferum (opium poppy) is the source of this 76-nucleotide small nucleolar RNA. RefSeq annotates it as small nucleolar RNA R21. NCBI's taxonomy places the organism in Eukaryota, Viridiplantae, Streptophyta, Magnoliopsida, Ranunculales, Papaveraceae. The record is from RefSeq and is a predicted model, not a curated record. The transcript has a single exon.